GCUCCCGGAUGUUAGCGGCGGACGGGUGAGUAACACGUGGGUAACCUGCCUGUAAGACUGGGAUAACUCCGGGAAACCGGAGCUAAUACCGGAUAGUUCCUUGAACCGCAUGGUUCAAGGAUGAAAGACGGUUUCGGCUGUCACUUACAGAUGGACCCGCGGCGCAUUAGCUAGUUGGUGAGGUAACGGCUCACCAAGGCGACGAUGCGUAGCCGACCUGAGAGGGUGAUCGGCCACACUGGGACUGAGACACGGCCCAGACUCCUACGGGAGGCAGCAGUAGGGAAUCUUCCGCAAUGGACGAAAGUCUGACGGAGCAACGCCGCGUGAGUGAUGAAGGUUUUCGGAUCGUAAAGCUCUGUUGUUAGGGAAGAACAAGUGCAAGAGUAACUGCUUGCACCUUGACGGUACCUAACCAGAAAGCCACGGCUAACUACGUGCCAGCAGCCGCGGUAAUACGUAGGUGGCAAGCGUUGUCCGGAAUUAUUGGGCGUAAAGGGCUCGCAGGCGGUUUCUUAAGUCUGAUGUGAAAGCCCCCGGCUCAACCGGGGAGGGUCAUUGGAAACUGGGAAACUUGAGUGCAGAAGA
RNAcentral lists this ribosomal RNA (588 nucleotides) under Bacillus pumilus. Its description in RNAcentral is "bacterial SSU rRNA". It matches the Rfam family "Bacterial small subunit ribosomal RNA", at positions 81 to 655 of the family's 1533-position model. The record is from RNAcentral. Lineage: Bacteria; Bacillati; Bacillota; Bacilli; Caryophanales; Bacillaceae.